RNAcentral lists this ribosomal RNA (941 nucleotides) under Herilla illyrica oribates. RNAcentral describes it as "partial 16S large subunit ribosomal RNA". Lineage: Eukaryota; Metazoa; Mollusca; Gastropoda; Stylommatophora; Clausiliidae. The record is from RNAcentral.
UGCAUAAUGGUUUUACUAAGAUNNACCUCAAUAUUGAGGCUCCCGAAUUUAAAAGAUCUAAUGACCCGCAAAUGUAUUAGAACUAAUAUACCUUAUUGUGGCAAAAAUAAUUAAACUAGAGCUCAUUAGUGGUGAAACACCUUCAAUUUUAAGGAUAACUGGAUCUAAGUUAAAUAUAUCUAGUGUAAUUUAGAAAUGUGUAUGGCUAUAAGGUCGUACAUGAAAAAUUUAAUUUAUUGGUGAGUUACUACUAUUUAAUAAUAUUAAGCAGUAGAAGUUAACACUAAAAUUCAUGUAAUAAGAUAAUUUUCUUUUCACUUAGUGUAAAGCAUAAUAUAAAAUAUAUAUUAAUAAUGUAUUAAUAAGUAGUAUACGAAAUAUACUCUAAGGAACUCGACAAGUCUACUAUUCAUCUGUUUAACAAAAACAUAGCCGAAUGGAUUUAUAUUCGGUAUUGUCUGCCCAGUGAAAAUGUUUUAACGGCCGCAGUACCCUGACUGUGCAAAGGUAGCAUAAUCAUUUGGCUUUUAAUUGAAGUCUUGUAUGAAAGAAAGUAUGAAUAAUAAUUGUCUUAGAGUAUUUUUUAUUAAAUUAUUAAGUGAGUGAAAAUACUCACAUGUUUAUUAUUAGACGAGAAGACCCUUAGAAUUUUAAGAAAUAUAUAUUAUUUAUUUAUUUGCUUUUUGUUGGGGCAACAUUAUUCCAAAUAACAACGAAUAAGAUUCUAAUUGAUGUGUCGAUUUAAUAAUAAAAAAUAAAUUACCUAAGGGAUAACAGCAUAAUUUAAAAUUAAGUUUGUGACCUCGAUGUUGGACUAGGGGAUAUUGCGGCUAAUCGUCUCAAUAGUUUCGUUCUGUUCGAACAUUUCCUCCUACAUGAUCUGAGUUCAGACCGGCGUAAGCCAGGUCAGUUUCUAUCUUUUAUAGAGUAGGUUCUAGUAC